This 355-nucleotide unclassified non-coding RNA is filed under the name soil metagenome. RNAcentral's name for it is "partial contains 5.8S ribosomal RNA, internal transcribed spacer 2, and large subunit ribosomal RNA". The stretch from base 1 to 120 matches the Rfam family "5.8S ribosomal RNA", at positions 35 to 154 of the family's 154-position model. The record is from RNAcentral.
GAUGAAGAACGUAGCGAAAUGCGAUAAGUAAUGUGAAUUGCAGAAUUCAGUGAAUCAUCGAAUCUUUGAACGCACAUUGCGCCCAUUAGUAUUCUAGUGGGCAUGCCUGUUCGAGCGUCAUUAAGUCCACUUAAGCCCUGCUUAGUGUUGGGAGACUGCUCCAGCGGUGCUACCCUGUAGCUACCCUGCAGCUCCUCAAAGACAGCGGCGGAGUUGUGGUAUCCUCUGAGCUUAGUAACUUGUUCUAGCUUUCGAGUACACCACUUCCCCUGCCGUAAAACCCUUAAUUUUUAAUGGUUGACCUCGGAUCAGGUAGGAAUGCCCGCUGAACUUAAGCAUAUCAAUAAGCGGAGGA